GUCGAACGGCAGCACAGGAGAGCUUGCUCUCUGGGUGGCGAGUGGCGGACGGGUGAGGAAUACAUCGGAAUCUACCUUUUCGUGGGGGAUAACGUAGGGAAACUUACGCUAAUACCGCAUACGACCUUCGGGUGAAAGCAGGGGACCUUCGGGCCUUGCGCGGAUAGAUGAGCCGAUGUCGGAUUAGCUAGUUGGCGGGGUAAAGGCCCACCAAGGCGACGAUCCGUAGCUGGUCUGAGAGGAUGAUCAGCCACACUGGAACUGAGACACGGUCCAGACUCCUACGGGAGGCAGCAGUGGGGAAUAUUGGACAAUGGGCGCAAGCCUGAUCCAGCCAUACCGCGUGGGUGAAGAAGGCCUUCGGGUUGUAAAGCCCUUUUGUUGUGAAAGAAAAGCAGUCGGCUAAUACCCGGUUGUUCUGACGGUACCCAAAGAAUAAGCACCGGCUAACUUCGUGCCAGCAGCCGCGGUAAUACGAAGGGUGCAAGCGUUACUCGGAAUUACUGGGUGUAAAGCGUGCGUAGGUGGUUGUUUAAGUCUGUUGUGAAAGCCCUGGGCUCAACCUGGGAAUUGCAGUGGAUACUGGGCGACUAGAGUGUGGUAGAGGGUAGUGGAAUUCCCGGUGUAGCAGUGAAAUGCGUAGAGAUCGGGAGGAACAUCCAUGGCGAAGGCAGCUACCUGGACCAACACUGACACUGAGGCACGAAAGCGUGGGGAGCAAACAGGAUUAGAUANCCUGGUAGUCCACGCCCUAAACGAUGCGAACUGGAUGUUGGGUGCAAUUUGGCACGCAGUAUCGAAGCUAACGC
RNAcentral lists this ribosomal RNA (809 nucleotides) under uncultured Lysobacterales bacterium. RNAcentral describes it as "SSU rRNA". It matches the Rfam family "Bacterial small subunit ribosomal RNA", at positions 61 to 858 of the family's 1533-position model. Lineage: Bacteria; Pseudomonadati; Pseudomonadota; Gammaproteobacteria; Lysobacterales. The record is from RNAcentral.